UUGGGCCACGGAGACAGCAAUGCUGAGAUGUAGGCCCAGGACAACUGAGACUCUACAGCUGCUUCUAGACCCUGAGGCAAGAAGAGUCCAGGCUGCCUGCUAUACAGAUGGUAUAGCCAACUAUACAGAUGGCACCAGCCCAGGGUUGCCAGUAAAACCAGUACUUAGUUACCUCUGAAGAGUGAACAACCUGAAGCUCCUGUCCAAAGCAUGAAAUCAACUCACCCUCAGGAUUUCUCACCGUCAUUUCCUGCCUCUGGGACUCAAUGGCACACCACGUGUUCAAAGACUAGAAGAAGCACGGUCUGGAGAGCUGGAGACUACAGUGCUUUGGCAAGGUGCCUCCUUUGCAGGCAGGCACUGGCCAAGGGUGCUCUGGAUCUGCCUCCAAAAUUUAGCUCCAUUGUGUGAUGGAGUGGCAGAAAGGACCAAAGCAUAUAGUUUAAAGAGUCAUCUAUCUGUACCAACCAGAUUCUGACUCCGAAUUCUCUCUCAUUGAACAUUUACAAACAUUUUCUCUUCACAUUACUCUCCCCACUCUGUGUGUCACUGUGUAGGCAGUACAGUGGGAGACAACUGAAGAAACAGACAGGGUGUGGGGCCUGAAGACCAAUAGGUAGGGACAGCCACAUGCUGCUUGCAAACAAGGUAAGAGGGAUUUCAAGUCUUAGAGAGGAUUAAGUUUAGCACAGGCCUUGACCUUGUACUAACAUACCUCAGGUUCCCAAAUGCUGGGAUUAUAGACCUCCCACACCCAGUACCUACUUCUUUGUAUAUUAGUAGGGUGUUGUGGCACAUAGCUCUGGUAGUAGAAGCAGGAAGACCAGAAGAUCAUCCACAGAUGGCCAGCCUGACACAUUAGACCCUGUCUUAAUGUCUUAAGCUCAGUACUUUGAAAGAUGCUCAAUAGUUAUUUUUGUUACUUAACUGUUUUAAUAUGAUAGAAAAAGGGUGGUUUUUUGUUUUGUUGUUGUUGUUUUGUUUGUUUGUUUUUUGUUUUUGUUUUGGAUCUUGGCCUGGUUGAACACUCUGAAGAUUUUCCAUGUUGAUUCAGAAAUGGUAGGGAUAAGAAAUUCCCUUUUUUCCUGUCACUCCAAAUCUUUGAUGGAAGAAGGUUCUUUUAGGAUUUAAGACUGGUUAAAGAGUAAAUUUCUUUAGAUUU
Molecule: long non-coding RNA, 1162 nt
Filed under: Mus musculus (house mouse)
Lineage: Eukaryota; Metazoa; Chordata; Mammalia; Rodentia; Muridae
Description: long non-coding RNA chr2:120714668-120715830
Source: RNAcentral